This 138-nucleotide small RNA is filed under the name Pongo abelii (Sumatran orangutan). RNAcentral describes it as "processed transcript". The record is from RNAcentral. Lineage: Eukaryota; Metazoa; Chordata; Mammalia; Primates; Hominidae.
CCUGAACAGCUUUCAAAAAGGCUCCAGAAUUUCUGCAAGAGACCAGAUAUUAUAAGAAAACAUCUCUAUAAGGAAACAGUUAAACUUCAAGAAAAAGAGAGAACCAAAAAUGCAAUUUAACACCCAAUUUCAAGCUCA